UGCGUUUGAAAACAACCCCGUGGCCU
RNAcentral lists this non-coding RNA (26 nucleotides) under Mus musculus (house mouse). Lineage: Eukaryota; Metazoa; Chordata; Mammalia; Rodentia; Muridae. The record is from RNAcentral.